GAUGAACGCUGGCGGCGUGCCUAAUACAUGCAAGUCGAGCGAACGGACGAGAAGCUUGCUUCUCUGAUGUUAGCGGCGGACGGGUGAGUAACACGUGGAUAACCUACCUAUAAGACUGGGAUAACUUCGGGAAACCGGAGCUAAUACCGGAUGAUAUUUUGAACCGCAUGGUUCAAAAGUGAAAGACGGUCUUGCUGUCACUUAUAGAUGGAUCCGCGCUGCAUUAGCUAGUUGGUAAGGUAACGGCUUACCAAGGCAACGAUGCAUAGCCGACCUGAGAGGGUGAUCGGCCACACUGGAACUGAGACACGGUCCAGACUCCUACGGGAGGCAGCAGUAGGGAAUCUUCCGCAAUGGGCGAAAGCCUGACGAGGCAACGCCGCGUGAGUGAUGAAGGUCUUCGGAUCGUAAAACUCUGUUAUUAGGGAAGAACAUAUGUGUAAGUAACUGUGCACAUCUUGACGGUACCUAAUCAGAAAACCACGGCUAACUACGU
This 496-nucleotide ribosomal RNA is filed under the name uncultured bacterium. RNAcentral's name for it is "partial 16S ribosomal RNA". It matches the Rfam family "Bacterial small subunit ribosomal RNA", at positions 28 to 506 of the family's 1533-position model. The record is from RNAcentral.